UAAAAAUUUCUUUCGCCUCUCGAUCUUUGUUGCUCCGAUACUGGGUGCUUAAUUCCUUCGUCUAUCCUCGAUUUCUUCGUUUGAUCUCCAUGUUGGCUGCUUAAUUUUGAUUCUAUUGGAUCUCUGUCCUGCGUAGGCGACUAUGAUAUGCAUUGACAACUCGGAGUGGAUGCAAAACGGAGAUUACUCUCCGUGUAGGUUACAGGCUCAGACGGAAGCUGUUAAUCUUCUUUGUGGGGCUAAAACCCAGGCCUUGAUGUUGGAGGUGAGAUCAACUUAACGGCGGCCAUCCAGAUUGCUCAGCUUGCUCUUAAGCAUCGCCAAAACAAGAAUCAACGCCAACUAGUGGUGGUGGCGUUGGGGGUGGCCGUGGUGUUCGACUUGGUGGUGGUGCCUUCGCUGGUGGACGCAGUGAUGGCGGAGGCUAUGGUCGUGGUGGACGCGGCGGAGGGAGACUUCAACACUAGGGUAGAGGGGGACACGGAGGAAGGGGAAAUCACAAUGCUCAAAUGACAAUUGAUGCCUUACUAGCACAAGAGUCAAGGAGAUUGAUGCCAGUUCUUCAUCCUCAGCGAGAAAACGGUGCCAUGUGGUAUGUAUAUACAUUUCCAACUCUUGUGUUUUUAUGUUUAUUGGAUGUUUCAUUAUAUGUGAUUUGGUUUUUCUAUCUAUAGUAGUAGCCUAUCUCUCUGUGUUGUUUAGGUUAUUCAUGUUGUAAACGUGAAUUGUUGUACAUUGACUUGUUUGUGUAAUGUAAUUUGAACAUUGGUCUUUACAGUUGAUGUUACUUAAUCGGUUAUUCUCUCAAAGCAGGUUGUCUUUGCACCGAGAAUGUCAUGUCCUAUGUUCGGUCUUGACAAUCCUCCACGGCGAGCAAUUCCCACCUUUGUUUACUCAAUCUACUUCUUAACUACUCUUUUCUGUUCUUUCCAGCUUUAAAACUCUGUUUUUUCCCAGAAUUUUCAUAACUAUGCUUUAAUCGGAGCUUUUGUAUUUUGUAAUCACAAUGACCUUGUUGUGCAAUGAUAUUUGCAGUUUAUUUAUGA
Camelina sativa (false flax) is the source of this 1046-nucleotide non-coding RNA. The record is from RefSeq and is a predicted model, not a curated record. NCBI's taxonomy places the organism in Eukaryota, Viridiplantae, Streptophyta, Magnoliopsida, Brassicales, Brassicaceae.